GAAGGGACAAGCCGACGUGGCGACGGCGCCUGCCUAGAAAGCAGCGUGAGCACCGCGAGGUGCCUUGCGGGUUCGACUCCCUCUCCCUUCG
Molecule: transfer RNA, 91 nt
Filed under: Myxococcales bacterium
Lineage: Bacteria; Pseudomonadati; Myxococcota; Myxococcia; Myxococcales
Description: tRNA-Ser
Source: RNAcentral